RNAcentral lists this ribosomal RNA (253 nucleotides) under uncultured bacterium. Its description in RNAcentral is "partial 16S ribosomal RNA". It matches the Rfam family "Bacterial small subunit ribosomal RNA", at positions 524 to 776 of the family's 1533-position model. The record is from RNAcentral.
CACGUAGGGCGCAAGCGUUGUCCGGAAUUAUUGGGCGUAAAGAGCUCGUAGGCGGUCUGUUGCGUCCGCUGUGAAAACUCGGGGCUUAACCCCGAGCCUGCAGUGGAUACGGGCAGACUAGAGGUAGGUAGGGGAGAAUGGAAUUCCCGGUGUAGCGGUGAAAUGCGCAGAUAUCGGGAGGAACACCCGUAGCGAAGGCGGCACUCUGGGCCGAUACUGACACUGAGGAGCGAAAGCGUGGGGAGCGAACAGG